GGGGAUGAUCCAUGGUGGAUAGGUGGACAUUGAGACUCUGCCGGGCGGGUUCGAUCCCCGUCAUCUCCACCA
Molecule: transfer RNA, 72 nt
Filed under: candidate division WWE3 bacterium
Lineage: Bacteria; candidate division WWE3
Description: tRNA-Ser
Source: RNAcentral